UUAAUGCAUACGGUGAAUGCCUUGGUCGAAAGUACCGAAGAAGGACGUACUAGGCGUGCGAUACGCUCUGGGGAGCUGCCUUGAAGCUUUGAUCCAGAGAUCUCCUAAUGGGGUAACCCAUCCCGAUUUAAUCGGGAUAUCUACCGCUGAAUACAUAAGCGGAUGAGGGGUACGCGCUGAACUGAAAUAUCUAAGUAAGCGCAGGAAAAGAAAACAAACGUUUAUUCCCUAAGUAGUGACGAGCGAAAUGGGAGGAGCCUAAACUAUACAUCAGUCCGAUACGCAAGUAUUGGACCGUAUAGGGUUGUAGGGGUUUUCAUAAGUGAUCCAUCAAAAGUAGUAGAAAGGACUGGAAAGUCCUACCAAAGAGAGUGAAAGUCUCGUAUACGACGCUCGAAGUGGCACGAAAACUACCUGAGUAGCUCAGGACACGUGUAAUCCUGGGUGAAUCUAGCAAGACCACUUGUUAAGGCUAAAUAUACUUUCGGACCGAUAGUGAACUAGUACCGUGAGGGAAAGGUGAAAAGAAGUGCGAAACGCACAGUGAAAUAGAAACUGAAACCGUAUGUUGACAAGCUGUGGAAGUCCGCAAGGACGACCGCGUGCCUAUUGAAGAAUGAACCGGUGAGUUAUUGAUUACGACAAGACUAAGCCACUAUGUGGCGUAAUCGGAGUGAAAGCAAGCCCUAACUGGGCGAAAAUUUCAGCCGUAAUCAUUAGACCCGAAACCAGGUGAGCUAUCCAUGAGCAGGGUGAACUCCGCCGAAAGGUGCGAGGGAGGCCCGAACCCAUUAGCGUAGAAAUGCUUCGGGAUGACUUGUGGUUAGUGGUGAUAUGCCUAACGAACCUGGAGAUAGCUGGUUCUCCCCGAAAUAUAUUUAGGUAUAGCCCUGUGUAAUAACAUGGGGGGUAGAGCUCUGGAUGGAUGCUUCGGUCGCAAGAUCGGAAAUCCAAUCAAACUUCAAAUACCCAUGUUUUGUAGCAGGAGUCAGUCCGACCGGGCUAAGCCGGGCGGGCCUAAGGGAAACAUCCCAGACUGACAGCUAAGGUCCCUAAAUCGUACUUAAGUGUUAAAGGAGGUCAUGAUCCUUAGACAGCCAGGAAGUUGGCUUAGAAGCAGCCAUCUUUUAAAGAAAGCGUAACAGCUCGCUGGUCUACUAUGGGUUGUGGCGCCGACAAUGAAUCGGGGCUAAAGUACGUACCGAAGCUACAGAUUUGCCAUUAAUUUAUUAGUGGUAAGUGGUAGGGGAGCGUUCUAAUUGCUGUGAAGCUUGACCCGUGAGGGCAGGUGGAGCGAUUAGAAGUGAGAAUGCCGGUAUGAGUAACGAAAUUGAUGUGAGAAACAUUAACGCCGAAUGCCCAAGGUUUCCGAUCCAAUGUUAAUCAGGGUCGGGUAAGUCGGUCCUAAGGAGAGGCCAGAGUGGCGUAUCCGAUGGACAACAGGCUAAUAUUCCUGUACUAUUUUUAGUUUGACAAGUUCUUUGAUUUAUCAAAGAAGCCAUUAAGAGGGGACAAAGUAGGAAAAACUCAGCUAUUUAAAGUCAUCCUUAGCCGUAAGGCAACGGAUGACGACAGAUAGUUUAAGCAUGCAAGUUAGUAGAGAUCGGCAAGUCCGUUUCUACAAGUCAUUCAAGAGCAAUCUUGAAUGAUUGAAAAAUACAAGCUGCGAUGACGAAAGUGAGCGAUUUCUGUUUUCGGGAAAAUCCUCGUAAAGGAAAUUAGAAGUAUCCGUACUACAAACCAACACAGGUGGGCGAGUUGAGUAUACACAGGCGAUCGAGAGAACUAUCCUUAAGGAACUCGGCAACAAAAGCUGGACGUAAGUUAGCAAGAUGUCCUACCCUAAGGCCGCAAGGUUUUGGGGUUGCAACAAAAGACGCUGAGCGACUGUUUAUCAAAAACACAGGUCCCUGCUAAAGCGAAAGCUGAUGUAUAGGGGCUGACACCUGCCCAGUGCCAGUAAUUUAAAACUUCACUUGACCUCAGGUAGCAAUACUUGGGCGAGGAUGGGGUCUAAGAUCUGGUGAACGGCAGCAGUAACUAUAACUGUUCUAUGGUGGAUUCGCCGCCUUAGAAGAAAGUAUGUGUUUUUGAAAUCUGACUAUAUGCUGGAAUAACUCAGUAUGCAACAGUACUAAUUUUCAAAAUUAUGCUAAUAAUUUUAAAGAAAGUCACAAUCUGUUUGCUGGAGUCAAUCAGCAGGGAAGAAUCCUGAUCUACAUCAGGAGAACCCUCAGAGACUACAUGUCAGACUAAACUGAAUUUAACUUUUCAGUUUGGAAGAUAUAGUCCGAACUACGUAGCGAUACGUAGAGGUGGAAAUUAACUCAUCCACGAAAGAGUAAGCAAUUACUCUGUUAACACACAAUUAAAGGAAUUGAGCGAAGUUCCUUGUCUGGUGAGUUCAGACCCGCACGAAAGGUAGAACGACUUAGCGACUGUCUUGAGGAUAGACUCGGUGAAAUUGCAGUGGCUGUGAAGAUGCGGCCUUCCCAUACUUGGACAAAAAGACCCCGUGGAGCUUUACUGGAGCUUGGCCCUGAUUUGAAAGAUUAAUUGUGUAGCGUAGGAGGGAGAUUCGUCGACAAUGAAACACCUCUCUUUUAAUUUUUCAGAUCUAACCCUCUGCCUUAUAAAAACAGGCGAGGAGACAAGGUCUGGCGGACAGUUUAACUGGGGCGGUUUCCUCCAAAAGCGUAACGGAGGAGUGCAAAGGUACACUUUUCCCAUAAAGAAAUUGGGACAUAAGCGCAAAAGUAUAUAGUGUGCUUGACUGUGAGACAAACAGGUCGAACAGGUGCGAAAGCAGGCUUUAGUGAUCUCGUGUUUGAUCGUGGGAUCGGCACGGCUUAUCGGAUAAAAGCUACCCCGGGGAUAUGUUAUGUGUCCAGACUUCAUGGUAACAUGGAGUCAUUUAUACGGCUAAUAACGGUGGAAUCUAUAAUUCUUGGUUUAGGUCUUUACCAACAUCGAGAAGAGUUAUAGACAAUACCGUGGGAAGUCGGGAAGUGCCUUUAUGGUACAUCCUUGACCCCGUAUCGACUGAGCCCAUUAAAAGAGGAAACGAUAUUCCUCUUGGGCGAGAUGUGAGGUAAACUCUUGCAUCACAUGCCGUACUCCUGUAUUUAAAGUCGUCAAGACUUCGAAAACAGGAUGAAGAUAUAGUCAGCGCUAAUAGUGAUAUUAGAAUACAGUGAACAGGCUAGUGAAACCCAACAGUCCACAAGGACGGUUUCGUUCGGCACCUCGAUGUCGGCUCAACGUAUCCUGGGGGGGUAGUACCUCCCAAGGGUCGGGCUGUUCGCCCGUUAAAACGUUACGCGAGCUGGGUUCAGAGCGACGUGAGUCAGCUCGGACUCUAUCCAGUAUGGGCGCUUUGAUACUUGAAGGGAGUCGUCUCUAGUAAGAAAUUGCUACUUUCUGUAGAAAUGCAGAAUGACAAAUUGGCUAAUAACGGUGAAGCCCUCUUAAUUUUAGGUUUAGUUUGGUUCUAUACUAAACUUGAAGAAGGAGUGUUAAUGGGUAAUACCGUGGGAAGUCCGAUGCAAAUCGGACCCCGUAACGACUUGAUCCCGAUUAAAUCGGGACUAAUGGAAGGUGCCAGAUAAUCUGGAUUAAAACUUCCAUUAUAUGCCAGGUCCUGAUCCGCCAACUGGUGGAAGGACAAGAUAUAGUCUGAUUCUCCAGGAAACUGGAGUUAACAAAAUGACGAGAGGACCGAGAUGAGGCAACCUCUAGUGUGCCGGUUGUGUGUAAACAUGCAACGCCGGGUAGCUACGUUGUUAAUUGAUAAGUGCUGAAAGCAUCUAAGCACGAAACAAACCCUAAGAUGAGGUAUCUUUAAGACCCCUAGCAGACUACUAGGUUGAUAGGAAAGCGGUGUAAGCAUAGCAAUGUGUUUAGCCUACUUUUACUAAUGGUCGU
This 3924-nucleotide ribosomal RNA is filed under the name Candidatus Daviesbacteria bacterium RIFCSPHIGHO2_01_FULL_44_29. RNAcentral's name for it is "23S ribosomal RNA". It matches the Rfam family "Bacterial large subunit ribosomal RNA". Lineage: Bacteria; Candidatus Daviesiibacteriota. The record is from RNAcentral. RNAcentral also lists the same sequence under 2 other names.